Molecule: unclassified non-coding RNA, 263 nt
Filed under: plant metagenome
Description: partial contains small subunit ribosomal RNA, internal transcribed spacer 1, and 5.8S ribosomal RNA
Source: RNAcentral
UAUCCGUAGGUGAACCUGCGGAAGGAUCAUUAUUGUAUAACCGAGGUGCGAGGGCUGUCGCUGACCCGAAAGGUCGUGCACGCCCGAGUGCCCUCACACACAUCCAUCUCACCCCUAUGUGCACCACCGCGUGGGUCCCCCUUUGGCUUGUUCGGAGGUGGGCUUACGUUUUCCCACAAACUUUGUAUGCAGUGUAGAAUGUAUUUUUUGUUUUUGCGAUCACGCAAUCAAUACAACUUUCAACAACGGAUCUCUUGGCUCUC